GGCAAACAUGUCCCAAUGGUGACAGUCUAUAAAAACUAGGCAUAUGCAACUUCGAAACAUUAUGCUAUAGAGCACUGCAACUCAGCUGAGCGUAUACCAAAACAUGUCUUUGAAGAUCAGUACAUUUAGCCUUUUCGCUCUCACACUCGUGUUCAUCUGUGGAUAUCACGUCACCACUGCCUUUCCUCAUAAAUGGAGCAGCCAGGUUGUCUGCUACAGAAAUCCAUGCAGUACUUCGGAUGACUGUCCACGAGGCUGCAGAUGUAUAUAUCACAGAGGUCCUGGGCCAGAGGCUCAGAAAGGGCCCGCACAAUCGGUGUGCUCAGCAUGAAAGAAAUAUAAAAACCUAUAAUUUUCUGCAAUAUCAAAAUAAAGCAAG
Molecule: long non-coding RNA, 379 nt
Organism: Rhipicephalus microplus (southern cattle tick)
Lineage: Eukaryota; Metazoa; Arthropoda; Arachnida; Ixodida; Ixodidae
Source: RefSeq, a predicted model, not a curated record